CACUAUGAAGCUAAAUUUAGGGGAACAGCGUUAGCCUUUUAAGCUGAAGAGUGGCGGCUCCCAACCGCCCAUAGUGG
This 77-nucleotide transfer RNA is filed under the name Stemonosudis rothschildi (Rothschild's barracudina). RNAcentral describes it as "tRNA-Lys". It matches the Rfam family "tRNA". Rfam says of the family: Transfer RNA (tRNA) molecules are approximately 80 nucleotides in length. Their secondary structure includes four short double-helical elements and three loops (D, anti-codon, and T loops). The record is from RNAcentral. Lineage: Eukaryota; Metazoa; Chordata; Actinopteri; Aulopiformes; Paralepididae.